Cucurbita moschata (crookneck pumpkin) is the source of this 434-nucleotide long non-coding RNA. RefSeq lists it as uncharacterized. NCBI's taxonomy places the organism in Eukaryota, Viridiplantae, Streptophyta, Magnoliopsida, Cucurbitales, Cucurbitaceae. The record is from RefSeq and is a predicted model, not a curated record. The transcript has 2 exons.
ACAACGGGCUAAUAAUCUCUCCCAACCAUUCUCUCAACAAGGGGCUAGGCGGCAAACACAAGGGCUAGCGGCAAAAGAUGGAAGGGGGCGGUGGUCGUUUUAAGUUACCCAUUUGGCCCGCGACGUGUUCGACACAGACUCUGCGGCGGUCCGCUCACCAUUCGGGCUCGCCUCCUAACGUGUUCGAGGGAGUUUUCCGUUGACAUUGGAGGAUGGGCUUGAAGGGAUCUACCGGAUCCGUCAAGGAGACGAGCUCUGUAGAGGCGUGUAACCACGCCAAUCGGGCGGAGGAAAGGGAAACCAAGGCGGCGGCCACGACAUACGCCAAUUGAGAACAAGACGGUAAAAAAUUUCGAAACUUUUUUUUAUUGAAGUAAAGAUAUGAACAUGAACAUGAACAUAAUUUAACAGAUCAAAAUACCCCAAAUUUAUUU